UGGGAAAAUAUUCAUUCAAUUGAGAAACAAACAUUGUGUUCCUUUUUCAAUGGGAAGGUGGAAAAUCGGACUCCGGAUGUCUACAAGGAGAUACGGACUUGGAUUAUGAAGAGGUUUCAUGCCAAUCCAAGCACAAACAUUGAACUGAAAGAUCUGUCGGAGCUGUUUAUUGGGGAUAUAGAUGCAAGAUGUUGACAAGGCAGAGCAAAUAGACUCUUUAAUUGAAAAGUUUUAUCAGUUACAACAUAAGCAAUCCUCUGUACUAUUAGUUCCAAGAGCCAACGUGUCAACAGCGGCAGUGCCUUCAGGCCUAUUUCCGGAGUCGAUCACAGAAGAGUUGGUAGAACAAGAGGGACCUGCAGUUGAGUAUCAUUGCAACUCUUCUUCUGUUGAUUGUUCUUGCAGUUGAGCAGGUGAUGGGAAGGUCUUCACCAAAUGACAAGCUACAGGCCUAUAAAAGGACAGUCUGCUGGACCAGCGUAGGAGAAGUGCAGACAUCGAGGAUGAUUUUUCGAUGAAAUUGGCUGAUAUGUUAAAAUAGUUCAAUGAAUGCUCUAGUUCUUUGAGUAGGCACAGAGAGAUGGACAGAGAGCUUGAAUUGAAGGAACACUAAUGUCCCUGUCUUCCCUGAAGAAGUAUGUGUCACCUAGUUGGGGGCAGCCAUUUGUAGGAGCUAGCAUUUUGGCAGUUUCAGGGAAUGGAGCUAGCAUUUGGAGAGAGGCUGAACUUGAAUCUUGGG
This is a long non-coding RNA of Spinacia oleracea (spinach), 739 nucleotides long. RefSeq lists it as uncharacterized. The transcript has 4 exons. Lineage: Eukaryota; Viridiplantae; Streptophyta; Magnoliopsida; Caryophyllales; Amaranthaceae. The record is from RefSeq and is a predicted model, not a curated record.